GUGGGGAAUAUUGGACAAUGGGCGAAAGCCUGAUCCAGCAAUGCCGCGUGAGUGAUGAAGGCCUUAGGGUUGUAAAGCUCUUUUACCAGGGAUGAUAAUGACAGUACCUGGAGAAUAAGCUCCGGCUAACUCCGUGCCAGCAGCCGCGGUAAUACGGAGGGAGCUAGCGUUGUUCGGAAUUACUGGGCGUAAAGCGCGCGUAGGCGGCGAUUUAAGUCAGAGGUGAAAGCCCGGGGCUCAACCCCGGAAUAGCCUUUGAGACUGGAUUGCUAGAAUCCUGGAGAGGUGAGUGGAAUUCCGAGUGUAGAGGUGAAAUUCGUAGAUAUUCGGAAGAACACCAGUGGCGAAGGCGGCUCACUGGACAGGUAUUGACGCUGAGGUGCGAAAGCGUGGGGAGCAAACAGGAUUAGAUACCCCAGUAGUCC
This 425-nucleotide ribosomal RNA is filed under the name uncultured bacterium. RNAcentral's name for it is "partial 16S ribosomal RNA". It matches the Rfam family "Bacterial small subunit ribosomal RNA", at positions 354 to 796 of the family's 1533-position model. The record is from RNAcentral.